RNAcentral lists this ribosomal RNA (158 nucleotides) under Nannizziopsis arthrosporioides. RNAcentral's name for it is "5.8S ribosomal RNA". It matches the Rfam family "5.8S ribosomal RNA". Rfam says of the family: 5.8S ribosomal RNA (5.8S rRNA) is a component of the large subunit of the eukaryotic ribosome. It is transcribed by RNA polymerase I as part of the 45S precursor that also contains 18S and 28S rRNA. Lineage: Eukaryota; Fungi; Ascomycota; Eurotiomycetes; Onygenales; Nannizziopsiaceae. The record is from RNAcentral.
AAACUUUCAACAAUGGAUCUCUUGGUUCCCGCAUCGAUGAAGAACGCAGCGAAAUGCGAUAACUAAUGUGAAUUGCAGAAUUCCGUGAAUCAUCGAGUCUUUGAACGCACAUUGCGCCCCCCGGCAUUCCGGGGGGCAUGCCUGUCCGAGCGUCAUUG